GUAGGGAAUUUUCCGCAAUGGGCGAAAGCCUGACGGAGCAACGCCGCGUGAGUGAGGACGGUCUUCGGAUUGUAAAGCUCUGUUCUCAGGGAAGAAGGUCUGACGGUACCUGAGAAGAAAGCCCCGGCUAACUACGUGCCAGCAGCCGCGGUAAUACGUAGGGGGCAAGCGUUGUCCGGAAUUAUUGGGCGUAAAGCGCGCGCAGGCGGUUCAUUAAGUUGGAUGUCAAAGGCAUGGGCUCAACCGAUGUACGCAUCCAAAACUGGUGAACUUGAGUGCAGGAGAGGGGAGUGGAAUUCCCGGUGUAGCGGUGGAAUGCGUAGAGAUCGGGAGGAACACCAGUGGCGAAGGCGACUCUCUGGCCUGUAACUGACGCUGAGGCGCGAAAGCGUGGGUAGCGAACAGGAUUAGAAACCCUUGUAGUCC
RNAcentral lists this ribosomal RNA (426 nucleotides) under uncultured bacterium. RNAcentral's name for it is "bacterial SSU rRNA". It matches the Rfam family "Bacterial small subunit ribosomal RNA", at positions 354 to 796 of the family's 1533-position model. The record is from RNAcentral.